AUUGAACGCUGGCGGCAGGCCUAACACAUGCAAGUCGAGCGGAUGAGGGGAGCUUGCUCCUGGAUUCAGCGGCGGACGGGUGAGUAAUGCCUAGGAAUCUGCCUGGUAGUGGGGGAUAACGUCCGGAAACGGGCGCUAAUACCGCAUACGUCCUGAGGGAGAAAGUGGGGGAUCUUCGGACCUCACGCUAUCAGAUGAGCCUAGGUCGGAUUAGCUAGUUGGUGGGGUAAAGGCCUACCAAGGCGACGAUCCGUAACUGGUCUGAGAGGAUGAUCAGUCACACUGGAACUGAGACACGGUCCAGACUCCUACGGGAGGCAGCAGUGGGGAAUAUUGGACAAUGGGCGAAAGCCUGAUCCAGCCAUGCCGCGUGUGUGAAGAAGGUCUUCGGAUUGUAAAGCACUUUAAGUUGGGAGGAAGGGCAGUAAGUUAAUACCUUGCUGUUUUGACGUUACCAACAGAAUAAGCACCGGCUAACUUCAUG
This 484-nucleotide ribosomal RNA is filed under the name uncultured bacterium. RNAcentral describes it as "partial 16S ribosomal RNA". It matches the Rfam family "Bacterial small subunit ribosomal RNA", at positions 30 to 507 of the family's 1533-position model. The record is from RNAcentral.